RNAcentral lists this long non-coding RNA (6475 nucleotides) under Sus scrofa (pig). RNAcentral's name for it is "lncRNA (ENSSSCG00005000589.1)". The record is from RNAcentral. Lineage: Eukaryota; Metazoa; Chordata; Mammalia; Artiodactyla; Suidae.
UGGCCCAAGAAAUGGCAAAAAGACAAAAAAAAAAGAAAGAAAGCAGGCCUGGUUUGACUCUGUCUGGGAGAGCGCGUGUCCUGUGAGGGCGAGCGGGGGCUUUGAGGGACAAGGCACUUGCAGAGGCUCGGAGCUGACACCGGGUGAGACUGGUUCCCUCCUUCCCCUCCUCCCCAGAGGCUCCAGCGUUUUCUGAGCUAGCAAGCCCCCCUCAACUCCAGCUGUGCAUAGGCCCAGGUGCUGGGGGACACAGAUAUCCACUGUCCCCCUGUCCCCACUUCCCACCUUCCCAGUGGUGGGAUGACCCUGGAAGAAGCUGCUGAGAAAUGGUCUGGAAAUGGACUUGGGCAUUGUGUAAAGCAGGCCGCAGGGCUCCCUUCUGAUUCUCAUACUGCCCCAUCCUGGAAAGCAGGCGCGAAGGAGCCCUGGGGAAAAAUAACUCAGGCCUGGCUUUGGGGAGGCAGCAGUGACGCCCUCAGCCAGCCUCUCAUUAAAUGAACAGCAGCAGGGGGAGGAGGGAGGGCCGCCCCAGCUGCUGAGAGCAGGAGGUCACAGCCCUGGGCAGUCAAGUGGCACUCACUCACCUCUCCCGCCCCCUUUCAUUCUCCAUUAACCACCCGGCCCUUCUAAUCCAAUGGGCUUCCUUUCCUGGGGCAGGAGGCCCAGAGCAGCUGCUGCCUACACUCACAAAGCUGAUUACUGAGAAGGAUCCAGAACCCGGAAGCAGGCUUCUGCUGCGGCUGUGGAUCUCUGAGGUGUGGGAGAGCCAAGCCACGUGCCGGCCCCCCCACAGGAGGCUGAGCAGUGACUGAAGACAUGGGGGGGGGGGGCCCAGCCAGCCCAGCACAAGGAGGCCGAGCAGAGGGCAGGGCCGUGUUAUUAAACCUGGUUUCUCUCUGAGGGAUUCGUGUGAGAGGGGCAGGCAGGCCCUACCCUCACAAGGAAUGACCCAGAACAAGGUCAGCAGCAAGAGCGGGCCCCUCUCAAUGCCGGGAAACGGUCCUUCUUGGUGCUGCCGUAUAGGUAGGACCUUAGAUGUGCAGGCCUCUCACCUCCCGAGCAGCUAGGGGUUCCAGCAUCACUGGGUUCGCAGACAGCGCUCAGGCGCCGAGGCUCAGGUGUCAUUCGAUGGUACCAGAGCCAGGACCCAGGCCGCCCCCCAGUGCUCAGGCCCUCCUUCUACUCGGAAACGGAGCAGGGACUUCCGCAGAAGGCAGCUGACCGAUGUCCCAGGCAGGGAGCCGUGUGAAUCCUGGGGACACAAAUUCUCAGGCUGCUGUGACAGCUCUAGUGAGACUUCAGACAUCAUCCAAAUGCGCAUUAAUUAGAACAGCGGCGUAGCUAGCACGUCGGCAGACGUCGGGAAGGGGAAGGGCUGAACGCAAAGCCGCGCUGGCGUGUUCGCGAUCAUUCCAGCAGCGCUGCACAUCAACUGAAUACGAGACGGCGCAGGGAGCUGUAAGCAGCAUUCAGCAAUCUGUAGUGCAGGCGGUUAUGUUUUGUACAGCUGGCGAAGCUUAUAAUCUAAUUUUUUUUUUCCUAGGAGAAGUCAGGGCUUUCCUAGUAGCUAAAAUGUUCUCUUUCAGAGAUAGAGUCGUGUUAAUUUUUCUGCUUACUGGGAAGUAGUAAACUCUUAAAGAACAUACCUUUAGAAAAAAGCUGCCUAGCUCUGGAGAGUCAGAAAUAAAACAUUUGCUUUUAGGCAGUUUCUUCCUCGUGGCCCUUUUCCUUCCCAGACAGUUGGCCCAGACCACAGCGCAGGAGGAGGGAGACCAGCUCAGGCCCUUGGCAGACAGUCUUUCUGAGAAACGCCAAGUCCCAGGGGGCAUCUCUGGAGCCACCUGAGUCGGACCCCACUCGCUUGGCCCAUUUAGGACAGACAAACAGAAUAGGGUCCAGAAACUCCCUCCAACAAGGAGCUGCUGGAGUUGCCGUCGUGGCGCAGCAGAAACGAAUCCGACGAGGAACCAUGAGGGUGCGGGUUCGAUCCCUGCCCCCGCUCAGUGGGUUAAGGAUCUGGCGUUGCCGUGAGCUGUGGUGUAGGUCGCAGACACGCUCGGAUCUGGCGUUGCUGGGGCUGUGGAGUAGGCCAGCUGCCCCUCCAAUCUGACCCCUGGCCUGGGAACCGCCAUAUGCAGAGUUACCUACACAGAAUAUGUGUAUAUCCUUAUUUUUUCAAAUUUACUUAGUAUUUAAUAAGUAAUAAAUGAUAGGUAUUUAAAUUACUGGGUUUUAAUUUAUUUUAUUAAAAAAUGAAAAUGAAAAAUAGCCAAAUGAAGGGCUCGGACUGAAACAAACUGAUCCUCUGUCGCAACGCGUGACUGUCUGCUCUCCCAGCCUGGGGAGAGGUGCCUGCCCUGGGGUUUCAUAUUUUCAAGUUGGAAAUCCUUGCCAAGGGAGUUUCUGCUGUGGAGCCGUGGGUUAAGGAUCCCGCGCUGCCACAGCUGGGGCUGAGGUCACAGCUGGGGCUCAGAUCGGAUCCCUGGCCUGGGAACUUGCGUAGAAAUCCUUGGCAUUGCUAACCCGCCUGGCCUCUGGUUGGGGCAGCCCUGAGCGUGGUCUCACAGGCGGCUAAUUCUAGAACCGUGGUGUGAAUGCUUUCUCCCAACCGGAGUCUUGACUUGCUGAAGACUCAGCCUCUGAGAUCAGUCUCAAAAUCAGAAGCUACCUCCGGCCCAGUGGCACCCUGCAACAAUGGUCCGCCUCCCCAAGGUCAGACCCUUCUCAUCUUUAUUCCUCGUAAAGGCUAAAGGAGAUUUGAAGUGCUGGCCACCUGCCUUCUGCGACUGUCCUUGGAGCUGGUCACGGUCAAAAUUCUUCAGCCUGGCUUUCCCCAACACAAGGAUUUUUCUUCCUCUGAUCCUUUCAGAUCUGAUUUGGUCCCUCUCUUCAUUUUCUUCCCUGUCUUUGACCUCUGUUUCUCUCCAAAGGCAGAGACUGGAAUUCAGCCUAAUAUUCACUGACGGAGGGUCUGGGAGAUGGCUGACUGCUGCCUCGGGGUGUUUUUUAUGAAGCUUUGAUGUCCUCCAAAUCCUCUUUGUAGGAACAGGGCCAAAGACGUUAAUCUGAUGGGAUUGAAUCCGGCAGGCUGAUGUCUGAGCCAGACGGCCUGCGCCUUUGGGGCCUUUGGGGCUUGUGACCGUGCCCUUGGUUGGGAGUCCAGGACGGUCUCUUAGUCUGGACGUUUGAACCCACAGCCCUGCAGGCUGGCCCCCCUGGCUGUUCUCGCCCCCACAUCCCUGUGCCUCGAGUCAGGGGGUUACCAGGAGCUCUCUGCUCUCGGACCUCACUAGAAAAGCUCAAGCCCAUGACAGCAAGUGGAGGGCUUCUGCGUGGCCGGGACCGCUGCCACCUCCCAGGACACAUGGGCUGCCAUCAGCCUGGGAUCAAGAGCUGAUGACGCCCACGGCUCUGCCCCAGCCAAGCCCGGCCCCAGCCGCCUCCUGGACAUCACAUCUGAUGGGGUGCUGCGUUUCUGCCCACCAAGAUGCCCUCUGCCCCCCCCACUCCCGCCCCCGCCCCAGUGUUUGUCAUCCCAUUCAGAGCUCUAGCACCAGUCGCGUGGCUGCUCCGACCAAGAGCCCCAGUGUCUUCCUGGUUUUCUCUUUGUCCCUGUCCCACCUGCCUGCAGUGACCACAUCAGCAGGUCCUGCCUCCUGGGCCUCCACAAUGCCCGCUGCAUGCGGGCUCACCCAUCUUUCUGGCCACCGCUCCAGUCCAUGCCUCGUCUGGGCUGUUCAGGUUCCCUGCCUCCAGUGUGCGCCCCACCUGCGCCCCGCCCAGCAACCAGUGUGAUCUUCACAAAAUAGAAACCACAUCUCCUGCUCUGCUUAAAGCCCCCCAGUGGCUCCCAUCACUCACAGAGUAAAUGCCAGGCUCUUCCCAACACCCCCAACGGCUCUGCCUCUUCUAGUCGCCCCCCACCCCAGACACAUGCCAGGCCUGGUGCCACGCUUCCUCUGCCUGGCCAGCCCUCCCAGCCUCGAUCCCUAGAAGGAAUUGCUUCUCUUCCCCUUUUAAGUCUCUGUGACCUUGGCCACCGUGGUGGAUGUAAAUUCCUCCCAGCACACGGUCCUCUCUGGCUUCCUUCGCAGCAUUCAGUGCAGGCUGAGGUCAUCUUUGAUUUUGGUGCAUUGUCUGCUGCGGAGGAAUGUCAGCUCAUGAGAACAGGCGCACCCAGAAGGUACUUGUUGAAUGAAUAAACUGCAAUAACAACAAAAAGAAAACCCCAUCGCUUCCUGCUUACCGCCUGCUCAUAGGACUGCCCUGGGCAGCAGCAAUCAUUUUUCUUUGUGCCCAGGGCCCUGUGUGUCACCUGCCUGCGUGCAUCCCUAGAGCUGUGUUUUCUGCCCCAAAGAGGCAAACUGUAAGGUAGUGAGCUCCCUGAUGCUGGGGGUGUUCAAACAGAGACUGGGUAGCUGGCAGUUCAUCUAAGGUUUUAUCACCUGGGGUUUUGUACUGGGUCGGAGCCAAGGUAGAUCAGCGGCUUCUGACAUAUUUAAAAGCACUGGAUACCUCUCUCCCUCCAGUCGCAUAAGGAAGCUCAGUGCAGGGAGCAGAAGCGGAACUGGUCUGGGUGGGGGUCUUGGCCCCUCUGCCCCUCCUCCCUGCAGCAGACCCUGCAGUCCGUCCACACAGCGCCGGGGCUCUCUCCACCCCGGUUAGAAUAGUAACUGAGCUCCAUCCUGUCCAAGUCAGAAGGUGUGGUCUCAGAGGACCCCGUCCGACAGAGGAGGGAGAGGGGCCCAGGGGCGAGCCUCCAAGGACAGCCCCUGUGCCCGAGGCUGUGGCCCCAAGGAUGACCUCAUGGCCCAUGUGGUGGGUGGGAGAGGACAGCACUUGCCAGCAAACCCUUAGAGACUGACUCAUGGAAUCUGGAAGCAGGAGAGCUUUCAAAGCCAGGCUUCCUUGAACUGUACAUAGCAACUGUCAUCAGGGGGCUUUGAGCAGAAAAGCAUCAUCAAGUCGGCGUUUUAAGAUGUCUUCAGAACGGGAGAAUUGGAGGAGAAUGGGGUCCAGGACAUGGUGCCAGGAUGAAGGCACAGAGUGACCGAGGCCAGAUCAGGGAGAAUUAGGGGGAGGAGGGACCCCAGACGUCUCCCAAAGGCAAGGAGAGCUUAGAAGUCAGAUGGAGAGGAAGUGCCAGGCUGUCGUCAACAUUCCUGGGCCAUGAUGAAGUGUCAAGUUGCUGUGACCGCAGAGAAAACCUGGACACGUUGAAAGGGGCCAAGCUGGGACAAGAAGAGUUUGGUUCCUUGUCACCCGAGACAUGUCCUGUCCAGCCGCACAUGUGGAUGGAGAGAGCUGGCCUGCUUGGAGCCUGGAGCUGUCAUCUGGAGGCCAGGGGUGGCUGCCUUGUUUUGAUGGUACAGGCGGAGAGAACGGCCUGGCUGUGACCUCGGCCGCCAGCCUGUCCUCCCCGCCCAGCACCGGCGCCCCGGGAGCUGGCGCCGGCUCUGCUCUGUCUGCUCGCCCCACAGCAACGCUCUGCUGUGAAUGCAAAAGAUGAACAGCCUCAUUGCCUAAUGGAAUCCUUCUGGAAGGAGUGCCAGCACUGUCUAUCCUGCUUCCGCCUGGGUGGAAGCAGGGAGGCAGCCCCUGUGCCCGGUCUCAGUGCCCAUCUUAGGGACCUUCCCUGGAGAUGGGGCAGUCCGCUGACCUGGCUGCAUGGCGUGUGCUUGGGGGAUUGUGCAGGCCCCCUGAGGGCUUCCUGUUGUCUCUGCUGUCGCCUGCUGCGGGGGCAUGGAGGGACAGGCAUCCUCAUGGGAGCUGGGCCUCCCCUCUGCCUCCCUGGCGGAUCCGUGAUCCCCGCCCCUGGUCAGGUCCACUUUCUGGAUGAACUAGAGUCGAGGGAGGGGUUGGCACAGGCCCAACAGGAGGCAGCCCAGGUGGCUGGUCACAGGAUCCAAUAGAUCCUGUUUGCAGGACCCGAGGGCAGAUUCAUUUCCUUAGGCAGACAGAUAUCCGUCUCUCUCUCUCCAUCUCCCCCCAUCUCUUCUGACUUCAGCCGUGCGUCAGGCCUAGAUGGGGCCAGGGCAGCCAUAAGUAGCAUUGCGCUGCCCCUGGGGUGCAUACCUGGCUCCCAGGGGCUCUGAGAAGCCUCCUUCCAAGCCCCUGCCCCUCCCCUCUGCCGUCCCUCCCUCUUGGGCUCCUGGCCUUGGCGGGGCUGUCAGGAGGCCCACCUCCACCCCCUCCCCUGGUGGAAAAGCUGAAUUAGAAAAGUAUCCCAGUUUCGCACAGCCAAGGAAACUAUAAAUAAAACAGCCUACGGAAUGGGAGAAAAUAGUUUCAAAUGAUGCAACUGACAAGGGCUUAAUCUCCAAAAUAUACAAACACCUCAUACAACUCACUAGCAAGAAAAACAAACAAUCCGGAGUUCCUAUCUGUCAUGGCUCAGCGGAAACAAAUCUGACUAGGAACCAUAAGGUUGCGGGUUCCAUCCCUGGCUUUGCUCAGUGGGUUAAGGAUCUGGCGU